Molecule: ribosomal RNA, 1320 nt
Filed under: Escherichia coli
Lineage: Bacteria; Pseudomonadati; Pseudomonadota; Gammaproteobacteria; Enterobacterales; Enterobacteriaceae
Description: partial 23S ribosomal RNA
Rfam family: Bacterial large subunit ribosomal RNA
Source: RNAcentral
CAUAGGUUAAUGAGGCGAACCGGGGGAACUGAAACAUCUAAGUACCCCGAGGAAAAGAAAUCAACCGAGAUUCCCCCAGUAGCGGCGAGCGAACGGGGAGGAGCCCAGAGCCUGAAUCAGUGUGUGUGUUAGUGGAAGCGUCUGGAAAGGCGCGCGAUACAGGGUGACAGCCCCGUACACAAAAAUGCACAUACUGUGAGCUCGAUGAGUAGGGCGGGACACGUGGUAUCCUGUCUGAAUAUGGGGGGACCAUCCUCCAAGGCUAAAUACUCCUGACUGACCGAUAGUGAACCAGUACCGUGAGGGAAAGGCGAAAAGAACCCCGGCGAGGGGAGUGAAAAAGAACCUGAAACCGUGUACGUACAAGCAGUGGGAGCCUCUUAAUGGGGUGACUGCGUACCUUUUGUAUAAUGGGUCAGCGACUUAUAUUCUGUAGCAAGGUUAACCGAAUAGGGGAGCCGAAGGGAAACCGAGUCUUAACUGGGCGUUAAGUUGCAGGGUAUAGACCCGAAACCCGGUGAUCUAGCCAUGGGCAGGUUGAAGGUUGGGUAACACUAACUGGAGGACCGAACCGACUAAUGUUGAAAAAUUAGCGGAUGACUUGUGGCUGGGGGUGAAAGGCCAAUCAAACCGGGAGAUAGCUGGUUCUCCCCGAAAGCUAUUUAGGUAGCGCCUCGUGAAUUCAUCUCCGGGGGUAGAGCACUGUUUCGGCAAGGGGGUCAUCCCGACUUACCAACCCGAUGCAAACUGCGAAUACCGGAGAAUGUUAUCACGGGAGACACACGGCGGGUGCUAACGUCCGUCGUGAAGAGGGAAACAACCCAGACCGCCAGCUAAGGUCCCAAAGUCAUGGUUAAGUGGGAAACGAUGUGGGAAGGCCCAGACAGCCAGGAUGUUGGCUUAGAAGCAGCCAUCAUUUAAAGAAAGCGUAAUAGCUCACUGGUCGAGUCGGCCUGCGCGGAAGAUGUAACGGGGCUAAACCAUGCACCGAAGCUGCGGCAGCGACGCUUAUGCGUUGUUGGGUAGGGGAGCGUUCUGUAAGCCUGUGAAGGUGGCCUGUGAGGGUUGCUGGAGGUAUCAGAAGUGCGAAUGCUGACAUAAGUAACGAUAAAGCGGGUGAAAAGCCCGCUCGCCGGAAGACCAAGGGUUCCUGUCCAACGUUAAUCGGGGCAGGGUGAGUCGACCCCUAAGGCGAGGCCGAAAGGCGUAGUCGAUGGGAAACAGGUUAAUAUUCCUGUACUUGGUGUUACUGCGAAGGGGGGACGGAGAAGGCUAUGUUGGCCGGGCGACGGUUGUCCCGGUUUAAGCGUGUAGGCUGGU